CUGUCGAGUAUGAUCUAAUGCAGGUACAAAAUAUGGACGCUCAAGCCUUCUAAUAACCAACCUCGCUUUCUCUUCCUGCAUGAUCUUCUGACGGUUUUCAUAAUAUAUAAAAUCGUCGAGUAAAGAGGUCUUUAGUGUAUGACUCUUGAAUAAUUUAAGCAUCUCCAGACCUUUUUUGAAUGGUAUCUCUUGGGUAUCUCUGCUAUUAGUAACAGGUUUAUUUUCAUUAUUCUCCAAAAUGACAUGCCUAAAGUUGUUGUUCGGCACGUCUUUGAUUAUGUGCCACUUAACAGGGAAACUUCCAUUCCAUUUAUCCUGCUGCCAAAAAUCCAUAUCCCUGUUGAAGUCCACAGGGCCAACCAUCUCUGCUACACCACAGAACUGACCACUUGCAUUGACAGAGAAAAAGAGG
Molecule: unclassified non-coding RNA, 412 nt
Filed under: Hevea brasiliensis (rubber tree)
Lineage: Eukaryota; Viridiplantae; Streptophyta; Magnoliopsida; Malpighiales; Euphorbiaceae
Source: RNAcentral